UGGGGAAUAUUGCACAAUGGACGGAAGUCUGAUGCAGCAACGCCGCGUGCGGGAUGACGGCCUUCGGGUUGUAAACCGCUUUUUCUCAUGACGAAGUUUUUUGACGGUAGUGGGGGAAGAAGCACCGGCUAACUACGUGCCAGCAGCCGCGGUGAUACGUAGGGUGCGAGCGUUGUCCGGAAUUAUUGGGCGUAAAGAGCUUGUAGGCGGUUUGUCGCGUCGAUAGUGCAAACUCAGUGCUUAACGCUGAGCCUGCUGUUGAUACGGGCAGACUAGAGGAAGGUAGGGGAGAAUGGAAUUCCCGGUGGAGCGGUGGAAUGCGCGGAUAUCGGGAGGAACACCGGUGGCGAAGGCGGUUCUCUGGGCCUUUCCUGACGCUGAGAAGCGAAAGCGUGGGGAGCGAACAGG
RNAcentral lists this ribosomal RNA (408 nucleotides) under Fusobacteriota bacterium. RNAcentral's name for it is "Fusobacteria bacterium partial 16S ribosomal RNA". It matches the Rfam family "Bacterial small subunit ribosomal RNA", at positions 355 to 776 of the family's 1533-position model. Lineage: Bacteria; Fusobacteriati; Fusobacteriota. The record is from RNAcentral.